This 286-nucleotide long non-coding RNA is filed under the name Danio rerio (zebrafish). Its description in RNAcentral is "si:ch211-43f4.2 (ENSDARG00000105436.2)". The record is from RNAcentral. Lineage: Eukaryota; Metazoa; Chordata; Actinopteri; Cypriniformes; Danionidae.
GGUUUUACUCGCUAGCACUGGCGCCUUUAACUCGGUAUAUUUACUAAAUACCGAUUGUAAGAAACAAAUCCUAAACUAAAACAUUAUUCAUAUACUGAAUACAAAUGGUAAUCCAGCAGGUGGCGCCAGAACAGCAGGAAUAACGGUGUUGCCUUAGUUACGGCAGUAAAUGACAGAAGUCGAGCAGGAUUUUAUCGAUUUCAUAAACUACACAGCGCCCCAAUAUUCGCAGCUUAAAUUCAGCUCAACAGAUUGUGUUUGGUCCCUAAUGUGGACACAGAUAUAG